AGAUUAAGUUAUUAAGGGCGCACGGUGGAUGCCUUGGCACUAGAAGCCGAUGAAGGACGUUACUAACGACGAUAUGCUUUGGGGAGCUGUAAGUAAGCUUUGAUCCAGAGAUUUCCGAAUGGGGAAACCCAGCAUGAGUUAUGUCAUGUUAUCGAUAUGUGAAUACAUAGCAUAUCAGAAGGCACACCCGGAGAACUGAAACAUCUUAGUACCCGGAGGAAGAGAAAGAAAAUUCGAUUCCCUUAGUAGCGGCGAGCGAAACGGGAAGAGCCCAAACCAACAAGCUUGCUUGUUGGGGUUGUAGGACACUCUAUACGGAGUUACAAAGGACGACAUUAGACGAAUCAUCUGGAAAGAUGAAUCAAAGAAGGUAAUAAUCCUGUAGUCGAAAAUGUUGUCUCUCUUGAGUGGAUCCUGAGUACGACGGAGCACGUGAAAUUCCGUCGGAAUCUGGGAGGACCAUCUCCUAAGGCUAAAUACUCUCUAGUGACCGAUAGUGAACCAGUACCGUGAGGGAAAGGUGAAAAGCACCCCGGAAGGGGAGUGAAAUAGAACCUGAAACCGUGUGCUUACAAGUAGUCAGAGCCCGUUAAUGGGUGAUGGCGUGCCUUUUGUAGAAUGAACCGGCGAGUUACGAUUUGAUGCAAGGUUAAGCAGUAAAUGUGGAGCCGUAGCGAAAGCGAGUCUGAAUAGGGCGUUUAGUAUUUGGUCGUAGACCCGAAACCAGGUGAUCUACCCUUGGUCAGGUUGAAGUUCAGGUAACACUGAAUGGAGGACCGAACCGACUUACGUUGAAAAGUGAGCGGAUGAACUGAGGGUAGCGGAGAAAUUCCAAUCGAACCUGGAGAUAGCUGGUUCUCUCCGAAAUAGCUUUAGGGCUAGCCUCAAGUGAUGAUUAUUGGAGGUAGAGCACUGUUUGGACGAGGGGCCCCUCUCGGGUUACCGAAUUCAGACAAACUCCGAAUGCCAAUUAAUUUAACUUGGGAG
Molecule: ribosomal RNA, 987 nt
Filed under: Escherichia coli
Lineage: Bacteria; Pseudomonadati; Pseudomonadota; Gammaproteobacteria; Enterobacterales; Enterobacteriaceae
Description: partial 23S ribosomal RNA
Rfam family: Bacterial large subunit ribosomal RNA
Source: RNAcentral